UACGAAGGGGGCUAGCGUUGUUCGGAAUUACUGGGCGUAAAGGGUUCGUAGGUGGCCAACUAAGUCAGACGUGAAAUCCCUCAGCUUAACUGGGGAACUGCGUCUGAUACUGGUUGGCUUGAGUGCAGGAGAGGAACGCGGAAUUCCAGGUGUAGCGGUGAAAUGCGUAGAUAUCUGGAGGAACACCGGUGGCGAAGGCGGCGUUCUGGACUGCAACUGACACUGAGGAACGAAAGCCAGGGGAGCAAACGGG
RNAcentral lists this ribosomal RNA (253 nucleotides) under uncultured bacterium. RNAcentral's name for it is "partial 16S ribosomal RNA". It matches the Rfam family "Bacterial small subunit ribosomal RNA", at positions 524 to 776 of the family's 1533-position model. The record is from RNAcentral.